Molecule: long non-coding RNA, 8353 nt
Organism: Passer domesticus (house sparrow)
Lineage: Eukaryota; Metazoa; Chordata; Aves; Passeriformes; Passeridae
Exons: 3
Source: RefSeq, a predicted model, not a curated record
UCUGCGAACAGCGUCGGGCUGGGGACACCGAGAGGCAGAGCCCUGGAGGGCGGCGGAGCCCGCAGCGGAGCCUGCACUCCCUCAGUGCGGCCGGAGCCCGUCCUCCAAGCGCUCCAGUGCCCGCGCUCGUCUCUUGCGGGGCUUCCCGCAGGAGCAGCCUCUGAACCACGGGCUGACUCUGGGCUUGCUAAUUAAACGGAGACGUUUGUCAGCUGCCCCUUCCAGGUGCGGGCAUCACGCAGCACAAGGCAGCGCUGAGGAAAGCUCUGCCCCGGACACGGGCGCUGCAGGUGGUGCCGGCAGGUCCGUGCUCUGCUGGCUGUGGGGCAGGGUUUACUGCCCGUGAAUGAAACCAGUCCUCCUCGGUCACCAGUCAGCACCCACCUGGGACCUCAGACAGGCCCGGAUCUCACCUAAGAGGUAGUUUUACUUGCAGGUGGGGAAGACGAAUUAAAUGAAACGAUUUGCUACAUUAGGGAUGCCAGAGCUAAGCGAGAUGCCAAGUUUCUGACUUCCACAGUACAGCGGUAGCUUGCUCUUUGCUGAGACCCAUACUCGGCUUCUCUUAGAGCCUGAGUGCUUAGCAAGGUAGUGAAUUAGGCCAAUCACAAUAAUUCACACGCAUUUAGCGGCAACUUGUUAAAACAAUGACUUCAGUCACAGGGCAAGUCACCAUAGCGCAGUGGUAGGUGGCAGCAUGAGAGAGAAAAUGAGUUGCUGUGCAGGAGCCACUGAAAUUCAAAGACAAUUAAUGGGGGAAGGAUUACUGGCAAGGAAUUACAGCAAGUGACAUCUAUAUGGAUAGAAGGAGAGGCCUAGGGAAUUUGUAUUAUUUUGUUUGGUUAGGGUUUUUUACUCAUAAAAGUUCUAUUGUUUUUAUUUUAUUUUAUUUGUUUUUAAGUAAUUGGUGUCCUUCCUCCGUGAUUUCAAAGAAAAGGUCGCAAUUCCCACCUCUCAGUAUGUUGACAGACUUUGUGCUCUUUUCCAUUUCCUUGUGUGUAGCAGUUGUAUUGAAUUGAAAGGGUCUAUUCGGUCUCUUCUCUCUGUCUCUCACUGAUUACCAGCCCCAGCGAGGCUGGGGCGCUGCUCUGCACUUCGCUCUGAGCUGCUCUUGGUGCCCGCGAUGGCGCUGCCACUGCAGGCGCUUCCAGGCACUGCUGCAGGCAAGCUGCCUCUCUGCUGUGUUUUUCUGGUUUGUCAUUUACAUGCCGCUCUGGCAUUGCCGUUCCUAGAUGAUAUUUCUGGGCAGAGGAGGUAUGUCCACUUAAUGCCUUACGGCAUUCAGGGAUCUAGCCAGAGCUGGUGAUCUGGAGUAGCUCUCACUCUGACUUAAACCAAACUAGGAAACACUUUAGGAAGCAGGUCCUGGUGUAGAUGUUGUGUUCCCUCAUCAAGAUCCUUUUCUUGCAGCUGAAUAUCCUAUACCGUAUCUUCCCAUCUGGUCUCUUUCCCUUAGCUUAAUCCACAGUGUUCAAGUAUGCACCUUGGGUCAAGCAACACAAGUGUUCAGAUUUCUUUUGACAGUUGGAAAAUAGAAUUAUUUCUGCAAGUAUUUACUUGCUCAUUCACAAAAAUACAAAAAAUAAAUUUGGGUACCAACAAAAUAAAUAAUUGCAGCUGCAUCUGGACUUAAUGAAGGUAGAGAUUUUUAAAAAAUAUUUUUAAAAGGACAUUAAAAAUGUUAAGUCUCUUUUUAUUUGUUUGAGAUUGAGGGAGGCAGGGGGAAAGAGGUCUUUUCCCCUCAUCAUUCUUUCAGGUAUCCAGAAUAAUUUCCAGCUUGGAAGAUUUCUUUAUUUCUGCUGGAAUCCUUAACAAAACAUUAUAUGGGUUGGCUCCAAAGCUUCAGCUGUGCUGGUUAGAUCCCAACCAAGGACUGGUUUAAAAAAGCACCCAGUGCUGAAAGGGAAAUACUUCUUCCUCCUACCAUACCCAGGCUUGAAAUUCUGUCGAUUCUUAUCAGGGCUUCUAAUUGGAGCUGGAAUAUGCAUGGGAAAAUGUUGUUUAAUUAUUUAGUAUUAAAGAGGCCUAUGGAAAUGUGCAUGGUUUUGUGGUAUAGGUUUGAGAUGAAGAGCUUUAAUGUCAUUGCAUGGUAGUGGUGUGUACUGUGAACCUGACAACUACAACUACCUGCUUGCUCUUGUUUUGCUUGGGUUUUUUUGGUUUUUUUAUUCUAUUUCCUCUCUCGUUUCUUGCUGGUAUUCACUGUGUGAGUUGUUCUUUGUUUUAAUGGAACAGUAAGAAUUGUGUAAGCUUAAAAAAAAGUGCUGUACUUAAUUCUUGAAGAGAAAAAUGUUAUUGGGCUGAGCUCCUGCGUGCUACUGCUAACUUGGAGUGCUACUCAAAGAAUCCUCAGUGCCAGGACAGUUGGCACCUUAUUAAAAGCCUUUGCAGAGAAGCCAAAAUUCACAGGGGCCAGAGCGUCUUCUUGAGUAAAUUGGAAGAAUUUUUAAUGACUCAGGGAGAAGUAAGUGAUCUAUGACAGCUGAGAACCUGACCCUAAUACACCUAGAAAGCCAGUAUCUCUCACUCUAGGCAUGUUCCUCCAGGUCAGAAGUAAGGCAAGCUGUCCAGCAGAGACAGGGCACAUCUGAACUGCUUUGCUUGGUAUUUUGAACUCCUCUGUUAAAGAGAGAAAGGAGCUUGGUUUGUCUCACCAACACAGCAGUAACUUUUCUAGCUGAGCUGUAGUGAGUCUAGAGCAAGCACUGACUCGGCUCCUGCUGAGGUUUUGGUGGUGUACACUGCUGUCUUCCUGACUUGGUGAAUAAGAUCAGCAGUGUCUCAGAAAUGAUUCAUGACUUGGGGCCAAAGCAAGAUAUUGGUGGUGUGUGUUGUGUGGGCCACGUGUGGAAGUGUCCAUCAUUACAUUCCUGCUGAGGUGUGUGAGCUUCUGUGCUAUAUAUGGGAAGAACUCCUUGUUUUGUUGUAGAAAAGAACUGAUACUCAAAGAAUCCAGUUUCCUGUGAUUUUAGACACAUGCAAAAGUAAUGGAUAAAAACCUUCAUUGGAAACCAGCAAGGAAAAUGGGGGUUUUGCUUGCUAUUUCAAACCUAAAUAGGCAAACAAUAAUAGCUGGCAUUAGGUGAGGGAAGGAGAUGUGCAUGUUGGUUUCAAGAUGGUAAACUGACAUACCAGGCCUGUUAUUCUUUGCAGGUACUCUCCUGUUUGUUCUAUUGCAGAUGAUUAUAUGAAAAAACCCUCUAGUUUCAGUAGCAUGCUUCAUAUCAAGCCUCAUAAAGUAGUACCAGAAAUAGCUGAGGUUAUUCUGAGUUAAAUUCUCUUAAAAUAUACUGGAAAAUCAAGUUUAAAACUAUGCUUCAUGUUGGCAAGAUUCUUUUUAAGUAAAAUUUUAAUCUUCUCUUAUUUGAGUUUUAGAAUUAAUGUCUGUAUAAUGGAGGUUGGAAAAUACUGUACUUAUUGAAAAAGCAGUAUUUUAUAUUUAUGUUGACAGAACAUCAACUUUUUAACAUACAGAUUCCAUCAGCUGAAUGAGAGAAAAUUAAUUAGGGAAAAGUGCUUAUUUUGGGGCUGGUUUUUGGUGUGGGUUUUUUGUUGUUUUUUUUUUGUUGUUGGUUUGUUUUUGUUUGUUUGGUUUGGGGGGGGGGUUGGGUUUUUUUUCUUGAAAAUGAAGUUUUACUUUCAAAGUAUUGCUUGAUCUAGGAAUAAUUUGAAAAUCCUCAUAAAUAGGACAUUAGAAAUCAAAAGAAUAAAUGAAUAAAUGAGUUCAAGAUAAAAUCUUUAAGCAUCUAAAUAAUUUACAAGUCUUGGGUUCUGCUCUGAAAAGUAUGAUGUCCUGGUAUGCUUGAAGAGCUUUUUUUGUUUGGCAUAUACUGCAUGUAGAGUCAGGUUGUGGGCUUGUAAUGAUGUCCACACCUAGGAGCCAUGGUCACCCACCAGCAUUCCACUCUGCUAUGUGAUGCAGACAGAGAACAAAAAAUAUGUUUUCUGGCCUCGAAACACCUACAUACAUAAUACAAUCCAUAUGUGACUAUUUUUCAAAAACUAUUUAGAAAAGCUUAUUUUAUUAGGAUGAAGUUUGAUUGCUGAGCAAAUAUAAACUUUUAUGCCAAAUGAAGAAAUAUCCUAUGUCAAGCUAAACUUUAAGUAUUUUUCACAAUUUUUCGAUGCAUCUUCUGUACUUGAUGACUAUAAAAGAAUUUGCCAAGAAAAUGAAAGUCAUAAAAUUCCUCUGCCUUUGUGCAUUUGCUUUUCUGUUUCUUUUGUCUCCUGAAGCUGUAGGAGGUGUUUGCUGACAUGCUUUGAUUUCAGGGUACUUCUGGAGCAACGUGAUGCGAGAAGUGACUCAGCUAAGCAAACUGAGUUUGUAUGAACAUCAGAAGCCCUGACAGUAUGAAGCUGUAACUGGGAGUUAUGAAAAGAGGCAUCCAAGGGGCUCGAUGUGCUAUUUACAUACGUAUUUCACUAUAUGACAGCUAUGAAAUAUAAUUCCCAGUUAUGCUGCAAAACUGAAAACCAAAACUCCUUUCCCGAACCUUACUGCGUCCCAACAGCUUAGACAGAUUUCACACACGUUUAACACAUGAACAGAUAUCUCGUGCACAGUUCUGGCAAAAUAAACUCUUUUGCUUUUUUCUUGGUGUGAUGCAGGGCAGCUUGUUGUGUGACCACCUGUGUUUCAGGGUGUUACCUGUGUGGGGUUCUGUGCUACACCCGUGGAGCACACUGUCAGUCUGCAGGGUGAGGUAGGUACUGGAGAGUCAAGAGAUCUAUCUAGGCUUUUUUCCUCACUCUGCCACUUUUGUCUGUAGUGAAACAAAAAAAGAGUAAGAGAGACAGGAAAGCUAUUUUAUUAUGUAAGGAGAUUUGCAAGACAUUUAUUUUGGUUUGUUUUGUUGUGGGUUGGUUUGGUUUUGGUUUUUUAUUCCAUUGCCCUCCUUUCAAAAUUGAAAUCUUAUCUGUUCUUUUUGCUUUUCCUGGCAAUAGCCAUGUAAAAACAGAAUAACAGAUUUUUAAAAAAAUGUAGCUUUGCAGGAAUGAAAGAGCUGAAGCUUUUUUUUUUUUUUGAUCUGAGACAACAACUUCAAAUGUCUGCAUUUUAUAGCUGAAAUCCAGUGUCACAAAAAUAUUGCAGGAAGGAAAGAACUCUGUUAAACAGUUGUACUGCUGCAGCAUCAGUUGCUCCACUUCUCAGAGAGAAUACUAAUGGAGGUGGGAAGAAACGAAACUCUUCCUCACUGCCAUUUUUAUUUAGAUGGUCUCUCUGUCAAGAACAGGUAUGAGGGACAAAUUCACCCCCAUCUUCAUCCUUUACUUUGUUUCAAUCACACUAAUUUUCUCUUGACUCCAUUUCCCCACCUAUAAAACUGCAGUAGGGAACAGAGUUUUCAAAGGAAUCAUUUUGGCCUAAGUCCUUAAAGCUGAUUGGGUACCAAACUUGUGAAAUAAUUUAUAAGAGGAGUUGAGAGUUCAACACAAUCUGGAAAGAUGGAACAAACCUUUUUUAACUUUCACAUACUUUGUGUCUAUGUGCUUGAAUACAUCCAUUUUGAAAUUUCUAAAUGCUUUUAGUAGGGAAGAAGGCCUUUUAACUUCUGUAAUUCUCCCCAGUAAAAAAAAAAAAGGAUAUUUCCAGUAUAUAUGCCAAGUUUUCACUGUCGUGGACAAAAAAAAAAGUUUAAAGGCAGACAAAGAAUUGUUUAACCAGUUGUCUUUUCCUAAAAAGAUUGCUGGUUGACUUACAUUAUAUUUUUACUAUAUACAUAAACGCAAACUGAUAGUUAAGUGCUUUGGUAAGAAAGGUGGAUUUGUGCACAUACUUCAUUUUUUUGGUGAACUUAGAUUCGGACCUGAAUCCUGCAGGGGCUUGCCAGAUGCUUGACUUUGUUUUCAGUGGAACUAUUCAGAGUGUAUUAUGUGAAGCACACACAACGAUCCAAGAGACUUGAGUCAGGUGAGCCGUGCUAAAAGAAAUAAUUUAUAUAUAGCUCUUUCCCCUGUUAAAGAACUUUCUAGUUAGGGUGCAUAUUAAAAUGCUAAACUUUAUGGACUUCAGGAUUAGAUAUACAAUAAUAAUAACAUACAAAAAUAGUCUAUUUUUUUUAAUCUGUAUGGUUACCAAAAAUUUACUCUUUCAAAAAUUGCCAAAAAAAAAUCACUUCUGGGAAACUACACACACGAGCCUAAGGCCAAAUCUUUUUUUUUAUAUUUCCAACAACUGCUCUGUUUUGCUUCUUCUGUUUCCUUGUCAAGAGGAUCCUGUUUAGCUUUUUUGGCUAAGGGCAGUUGGGUAUUUAUUCAUUGAUCUCUCAUUUCUUGCAUUAUCUUGAAUUCUAAUUAGUUUUUUUAAGUCCUAUUACUUCACUCUCCAAACAUAGCUCCAACAGACAUCACUCUUCCUUUCUGUAGAGCUGUUCAGAACCAUGAAAGAACUGUCAUCUUACAUUCUGGGGCUAACCACACUGCCCAGCAGUUCUCCACCAGCUGCUUUCAUUGGCAGUUUGAUUGAAUGACUUUCCCCCCCCUCACAACAUGUGAUUCCAAGUGCCUGAAAAAGUGUUAAGUCACUUGAUGUUAGGAGAGAUUCUGUAAAUAGGACUGGGAGCAGUCCUCUAGGUGUUUGUAAUUAAUCAGGCUCCAAACACUUGGAGCUUUUGGAUGCACUUAUAAAAAGUCUAAAAAUGUAAACAGUUUUCUUUCCUCUCCCCAGGAAGUCUUAAUGCACUAAAGACGUAAGUGAAGAAGUUAAAUUGCCAGUGAUCAAAUCAAUUACACUUCAGAUCAGACUGUGGCAGGGCUUUUUGGUUCUCAACCAGAUGGAACUAGACUUCUUGUGAAGGAGAGCUACUGUUUAGAGGCCUGAUUUGAAGGCAAGUCUCCUCUUCAUCAUGAGAAAGCUACUGUCUGCUUCCCCAACUACAGACAUUUGGAAACAAAGGAGUUUGAGUGUUACUCUGUUGACGACAAAGCCAAAAACCUGAUUGACUUGGUAGUCAUCUUUCUGCCUGUGCUCUUCCUCAGUUUAACAGCUCAGCAGAGAAGCAGCAGCAACUUUAACUCCCUAAUUCUUGAGGCAGGACAGGACUUGUUAGAGAAGUACAGGUAAGCUUUAGCUGAAAUCACCACCCCUAAUUGACAUUGUGCUGGGAUACAAAUUAGAGACCACAAUUCCAGUUUGACCAAAGCCUCUUGUUCAGCCUGUGUCCUCUCCAGGAAACCCCUCCUUGCUUCCUCUCUUGAUGCUGAGAUAAAAAACUGCUGGCAACGAAGCAGAGCCAAACAAGGUUUUGGCAUAGAAAAUGGCUCUCACAGCAUUGCCAGAAGAAGGGAAUGCUGGAAAGAAGAUUCCUGGAGAGGGUUGAACUUCACUUUGCACCGUGCAAGCAGCACAAUGUGAGGCUGAAGAUGAACAGAUCCUGUCUCAAAACUGCUUGGAGAUUGAAGAUGCAGUAACAUAGAAAGCCUAUGCUUCAAUUUUAUCUAUACCAAUGGAGUAAAAUGUACUUACUGUAUUUGCAAAGUGGCAAGAAGUUCAGUGGAGUGGAGCUUCAGUACUAAAUAUCCUUUACACCUGCUUUCUGGCCUGUUACAGUGUCAGUGUAAGCAAAAUUCAAGUGUAUAUUGUCUCCUUCACACAAGUGCAGUCAAAAAUUCUAGCAUGAAGGCUUUUUGGUGCAAAUAAAAACUGUUUGCCUAAGGACAAACUUCAGAGGAAUGCAAAUUUUCCAGUAUCUCCUGAUUCUUGUCAGGAUGACUGUGUGUCACAGAAAUUACUUUUCUUGAGUUCUGUGCUUCUUUCACCAAAACUUAGGAAUUAAAAAAAAAAAAAAAAGCAUUCAUAAUGGGCAUGAUCCCAGGUAUUUGUCAAAUCUCUGAACAACAUUUGGGGUUUAUCUGUCUUCAAGUUUAAGUUUAUCUGUCUUCAAAUCUGGGUUUCUCCAGAUUUGCGGAUGCUAUCAUUAAUACUUAGUCAUAGCACAGAGCAGCCCUUUUGCUUUGUUCUGUUGGGUUUUGGGUGUUUUGCCUGCUGCAAGCGAAAACAUAAAAAUAUUAAGAACCAGAAAUGAAUGUGGAAAAAUCUUUGAAAAUAAACUAACUCCAAUGCUUUAAAUUGUUAGAAAUAAGACAUAUGUAAACGAUUUGUUUGUGUUUGUUUAAAGAAGCUCUGUUUAAUGUUAAUUUAGUGAAAUUCAACUGUUGCAUAAACUUCUAGGAAUUAUUUGAAGAUUCCUAGGAAGAUUAAUUGGUCUUUUUUUUUUUUUGGAAUGGUACUUGCUUGCUACUUUUUAAAAUAAAGUUGAAGAGAAUGAGACUACAUAAGAUUUUGAAUCCUUCUUAACCAACAAAAGAAAACACAAAAUAUAAUGCAAAAUACUCUGGCUGAUCUGACUAAAAU